RNAcentral lists this ribosomal RNA (105 nucleotides) under Morganella morganii. Lineage: Bacteria; Pseudomonadati; Pseudomonadota; Gammaproteobacteria; Enterobacterales; Morganellaceae. RNAcentral also lists the same sequence under 2 other names. The record is from RNAcentral.
UAGCGCGGUGGUCCCACCUGACCCCAUGCCGAACUCAGAAGUGAAACGCCGUAGCGCCGAUGGUAGUGUGGGGUCUCCCCAUGUGAGAGUAGGGAACCGCCAGGU